GACCGCUGAUUCCCAGGCACCCGGUACCGGUCCGCGGCGUUUAGGGUCCGGCUGCAAACGGGGCGGGGCGGGAGCGUUCCUUCUGGGGGCCGGUCACGCCCCCGUACCGUCCCGCGCGGCCUGGCACGCCGGGCUCCGCUGCGGACAUGGCCCACGGCGGCGCGGUGCUCCCCGGGGCUUGUCAGGAAGGGGUCGCCCAGGAAGGGGCCGGGCGAGCGGCGCUCGCGAAGGCGGUGGUGUGGAAGCAGCUCAGCGACCUGCCCAGGCUCUGAGGGAGAACUGCACGCAGACACUGUUCCUUCUGCCAGCGGCUCUCUGUUCCAAGCACACAGGCAGUCUUGUUAGCCAGAGCUCCUGGCUUUUAUUCCCACGUCAUUGGGCUCACAUCAAGGGACUCAGCAAAUGAGCUCGAAUUCCUGUGGACAGUGUUGACGUUUCAGAAUUUAGAGCGUUUUUACAAUGGUUGUGGCCUGGAACCUGCAUCUGAACAAGGAGGAGAUUUACUGAAGCUUUGUGUGAGACAGGCGUGCCUGACACUGAUGGGAAAAGCUUGAAAGCGCACAGGACGCAAAAGAAGCCAGGUGGAUCCCAGAAAGGCUGGUGCGAUUUACAGGAGUUGUUCCCCAGAAGGAGGAUGUUCCUGCUACCGACAAUCUUGAAUUCUGCCCUGACUGAGAACCAAAAAGCUGCAUUGGACUUAAGCUCCUGACCACCUUUGUGUCAUUCUGCUCCUGGGAGAAGACGUCAUACAGAGAAACCUCUUAUACAAUGGACUGGACUUGAUUGUUCUGUUAAUAAGGACAAUUCUCAACAAAAUCAAAGAGAAUAAAAAAGAGGACUAACUGUGAAACUUUGGUCUGACUCUGGUUUUCAGCAGACCAAAACAAGCUUGCUUCAAAAACUCUUGGGAGGCUCUGUAACUAUGUAAAUUCUCCUUUUGUUUUGUUGUUUGGAAAUGUUAACAAGAUUCAAACUUUAAUGUUUCUUGCCUUCAAUGUAAACUGACAAACUGUAUUGGUAAGCUUUCAAAUGGUUCUGAUUGUUCGACAGCCUUUUACUAUGGUUCCUGUGAAUGUUUCUCAGACUUGGUAUUUACACAAGGAGUCACCUGCUAAGUCACUUUUGUGGAGUGUUAUUUUGGACUUGACUUGUGAUAGGAGAUGCUCCUAUCGUUGACAACAAACCUGCCUAAAGGCCUUUUAGUAUGUCAAAGCUGAGCUGAUCUGCACAAGAUCAUACCACAGUGUCUACCCUAGCAGAGGUUGGUAGUCAAUGACGGGUAAGAUUUCUCUGGGAUAUGUUAUGGGGCAUGAAUGAUAAAAUUCAUGUACAAAUAAAGAUAUAUCUUUCGAGAGAAACAACCUAAGACAGGCACAAUCUUCUGCUCCAUAACUCUUAAGUUAUAGCCAAUUUUAAAAAAUAUAAAAAAGGGAGACCUGUCAGGAGCUGUGCCUCUGGCAGCUGCUUUGAUAUUUAAAUCUCAGCAGAAAGACUGCUUUUACCAGGCCUUCACUAAGUCAGGGAAGAAUUUGCAAGUCCAUCUCCUUUUGUUUAUGACAGCAGGUGGGAGAGCUUGUCAUAAUCACACCUCUUGCUCCAGCCUCUGGUGGAAAUUAACCCAUUGUUCUGAGGUGUUUCUACUCUGGCUUAAAAGCUCUACAAUAAAAAAAAAAGGCCUGCUGUUGCUGCUAAAUUGCUGCUAGUUUUGCUGCAGAGGCUUGAGGUUGCUGCUGUGGCUGUCGAGUCUGGACCUUCUUAAAAAAGCCUCCUGUGUGCUGUGUGUUUUUUAUUAAUUUUCAUCCUCACUCCCGACUCAAGAACCAUCGACUCUGCUGGCUGGCUCCGGCAAAAUGAGGACAUUUAAUUUCUGCUGUUGAAGUCACCAAUACUGCAUGACGCUGUGAGGGCAGUCAUGGCAAACUGACACAACCCCUUCUCUAGCCUCGACUCACGUUGCAGGUCCCAUGCUCACUAUGUUCUAGCAAAGCAGCUUUUUCUUUGGUUCUUUGAACUGUCUGUACUUAUGCUUGUCAUGGUCUUUGCAUAGAUGCUCUCCCCACUUCCAGCCUCUGCAUAUAUAUUCUCCUCGCUUCCUAGAACGACCUUUGCCUAUUUCCUGUUGGUCUAGUUCAUUUUUUUCAUUUAAAAACUAGAUUACUUUAUGUGUGUGUCAGAUCCCCCGGAACUAGAGUUAUGGACUCCUGUGAGCCACCAUGUGGGUGCUUGGAACUCAACCUGGGUCCUCUGAAAAAUCAAGGGCUCUUAACCACUGAGUCAGCUCCUCAACCCCUCCAUCUUUCUGUGUCAUCCUACAUUCCUUUAUUCAACUAUUAGUUACUGGGUACUAAUUAUAUGCCUGCAAAAUGCUAACCCUUCUGAGCGUGCAGCAGUGUGUAAGCAGGGCUUUUGGCCUCAUGGGCCUACAGAUGCCCACUUAAACAUCUUUGUAUUGCAGUGUUCCUGGGAGAGCUACCCACUAAGACCUCCUAGGAAAAGACUGCCUGAGGAUAGCAGAAUGGAACACCAGACAUGAAGCUAGCAUAGCUUAGAGCCCACCUCCAACCUUGAAGACAGGAUGGCUUGGGGUGAGGAGUGUGGGUAGCUGGCAGUCCCAGCUGUUAAUUGUUUUGGACCCCCUCAUCUUUGAGCUAAGAUGCUAGUCUCUUUGGGGUGCACUCUCCAAUGACUGAACGAAAGUGUGACAUAGCAUGUCUGCCUAACACAGGACAGCUUCGCUUCCUUGAUUCUGCUGCUUCCUAGCUCCUCUGGUCCUUCAAGAGUUACUUUCCAGUAAUCUCUUUGCCUCCUAAAUCUGUCUCUGCCUCUGGUUUCCAGUGGGCCAUGCUAGCUUUGGGAGCUAAGCAGGUGGCUUCGGUAGCUUUAAGCAUCCUCUGACACUGCCAGGAGCAGGUGGUUUAGAACAGGUGCUGAGCCAGUGUAAGCAGGAUGUACUACCACCCAGGCUGCGAGGGGACCAAAGGGUAUUUCCAAUCUGGGACAUGAAGCAAAUAACCCCGUGUUCCUUGGCAAGGAAUAUACCUUGGCAUCAUAUAAGCGACCCAAAUGUUUCCACAGGCUUUCUGAAUGAGCUGUUUGUUCAAUUAGUUGAGCAUGAGCCUAAGGUCAAGUUCCCUUAAUUCAUUUCCUAUUAGCCAGUUAGUUUUAGAAAUGCUGGCCUGUCAAAAACGGUCUGUUAGCUGUUUAUAUGUAAAUGCCGUGGACCCCUUACACAUUAUGUAGUCAUUUCUCAGCUGCCUCAGCUUUUCAGUGACAUAAACAGUUUACAUGUGGUGUCAGGUGGAGAAGCCAUGUAGACUUGGUUAGUGACAAGGAUGGUGCCUGAAUUAAAGUCAUAAGUGGAGAAUUGCUGUUGCCUUCUGCUGUGGAAGCAUUUUCUAGUUCCUUAUUAGAAAAGCAAAAUUCCAUAGCCAGGUGUAAUCCCAGAAUUCAGGAGGCUGGAGCAGAGGAUUGCCACAAAUUCAAGACCAUUCAGAACUAGACAGUAAAUUCAAGGCCAGGUGACGUGCUCUGAAGAAGGGUCAUGGGUCAGCAUGGGCCGGGCAGCUUCCAGAAAUGUCAGGCCAGGUCCCCAGGACUCACACUAAAAAGCUGGUCCUGGCUGAAUGCACUUUUAACCCCAUCACUGGAGGGUGGAGACUGGGGGAUUGCUGGGACUUGCUGGCCAGCCAGUCUAGCUGAAACACUGAAAACUCCAGAUUCCUCGGGAGACCCGGUCUCACGGUGGGACAAUGAGAUAAAAAGAGAUGGGGGGGGCGCUGAAGUCCUGUUUGGACUUAUGCAUAUGUUAACAAAAGCACAGGCGUGUGCACACAUGCACACGUGUGCACACACACCAUAAACAACAACAAAAAGAAGAGGAAAGAGAAGUGAUAAUCCUGAGUCGACCUUUGCCCCUUUCCUCUGAAUACUUGUAGACCGAGAGAGCUGUUGUCACACCUCAUUCAGUCAACCGUGAGCUACACCCAUGCUUCCAUAUUUUAAAGAAAUCCAUGUGCAGUUUCUUUACUGGCACCUGCCAGGCAGACACAGGUAGCGCUCUAGAGCACUGCUCAUCCCCCUUUCUCCUAUUUAGCCAUCCCUCCUGUGUGUUAAACAAUCCUGUCCUAUGUAGUGAGGUUAAGCACAAAGGGCUGCUGGGUUAAAACCUAACUUCUCCCGUUGACUGGCUGUGUGACCUCCAACAGUUACUUCAUCUCUCUGAGUCUUAAUUGGUAAGAUGAGUAAAACAACACGUGGCAUAUAAGGCUGAUGAAAAGUUGAAAUAAAAAUAAAAUGAAC
Long non-coding RNA from Meriones unguiculatus (Mongolian gerbil), 4299 nucleotides. RefSeq lists it as uncharacterized. The record is from RefSeq and is a predicted model, not a curated record. NCBI's taxonomy places the organism in Eukaryota, Metazoa, Chordata, Mammalia, Rodentia, Muridae. The transcript has 4 exons.